This 253-nucleotide ribosomal RNA is filed under the name uncultured bacterium. RNAcentral describes it as "partial 16S ribosomal RNA". It matches the Rfam family "Bacterial small subunit ribosomal RNA", at positions 524 to 776 of the family's 1533-position model. The record is from RNAcentral.
UACGUAGGGUGCGAGCGUUGUCCGGAAUUACUGGGCGUAAAGAGCUCGUAGGUGGUUUGUCGCGUUGUUCGUGAAAACCGGGGGCUUAACCCUCGGCGUGCGGGCGAUACGGGCAGACUGGAGUACUGCAGGGGAGACUGGAAUUCCUGGUGUAGCGGUGGAAUGCGCAGAUAUCAGGAGGAACACCGGUGGCGAAGGCGGGUCUCUGGGCCGUUGCUGACACUGAGGCGCGACAGCGUGGGGAGCAAACAGG